Molecule: ribosomal RNA, 468 nt
Filed under: uncultured bacterium
Lineage: Bacteria
Description: partial 16S ribosomal RNA
Rfam family: Bacterial small subunit ribosomal RNA
Source: RNAcentral
GACGAACGCUGGCGGCGUGCUUAACACAUGCAAGUCGAACGGAAAGGCCCUGCUUUUGUGGGGUGCUCGAGUGGCGAAGGGGGAAGUAACACGUGAGUACCCUGUCAUUGACUGUGGGAUAACUUCAGGCAACUGGGGCUCAUACCAGAUAGGAGCUCUUGCUGCUGGGUGGGGGCUGGAUAGUUUCGGCGGUUGGUGAUGGACUCGCGGCGUAUCAGCUUGUUGGUGGGGUAGUGUCUUACCAAGGCUUUGCAGAGUAGCCGGCCUGAGCGGGUGACCGGACACACUGGGACUGAGAUAAGGCCCAGACUCCUACGGGACGCAGCAGUGGAGUAUAGUGUACUAUGGGAGGGAGCCUGAUGCAGCAACGCCGCGUGCGGUAUGUCGUCCUGCGGGUUGUAAUCCGCUUCCGCCUGUGACGAAGCGUGAGUGACGGUAAUGGGUAAAGAAGCACCGGCUAACUACGUG